Sciurus carolinensis (gray squirrel) is the source of this 121-nucleotide small nucleolar RNA. RefSeq annotates it as small nucleolar RNA SNORA40. The transcript has a single exon. The record is from RefSeq and is a predicted model, not a curated record. Lineage: Eukaryota; Metazoa; Chordata; Mammalia; Rodentia; Sciuridae.
AGUACUUGGGUGUGGUUUUUAACUUAUGCACAGACUUACAGACAGGUGCAAAAACUAAAUCCCUUUGUAACCCAGAAGUCAUUGUUCAAUACAAAUCUUAAUUCAUAUAAGGGGGAAUAUU